Molecule: long non-coding RNA, 258 nt
Organism: Drosophila rhopaloa
Lineage: Eukaryota; Metazoa; Arthropoda; Insecta; Diptera; Drosophilidae
Exons: 2
Source: RefSeq, a predicted model, not a curated record
UUUAAAUCAAAGGAUCAUUACUUUCAAUUUGUCCAUAUAAUCCCGUUUUAAAUUUGCAAAAACUUCACCGCUCUGAAUAAAUUGUUUGCGAAAAGGACAUGGUGUUUCAUAAUGUACAAUUUGCUGCCUGAGCAGCUAUCUGGCAAUGUGGACGAAGCCGCACAGAUCCGUGCUAGACCAUUAACUAAACAAUAUUAUUUGUAUCGAUGCUGACGUAUUUUUCGAUUUGUUAAAUAAAGGAUAGAUUUGACAUAGCGA